RNAcentral lists this ribosomal RNA (465 nucleotides) under Onchocercidae cf. Mansonella ozzardi LAM-2011. RNAcentral describes it as "partial 12S ribosomal RNA". Lineage: Eukaryota; Metazoa; Nematoda; Chromadorea; Rhabditida; Onchocercidae. The record is from RNAcentral.
UGCGUUUUAAUUUUUAACUCUAAUUAUUGUAGUAUUUUUUCUUUUGUUUCUAUUUUUUAUUUUAAUUUUUUGUAAAAUGUUUUAGUUUAUUUUUGUUUUGAGGAAAUACUUAAAAUUUGUUUUAUUGAACUGGAUUAGUACCCAGGUAAUCAAAAUUAAUUAAUUCGGGAGUAAAGUUUUGUUUAAACCGAAAAAAUAUUGACUGACUUUAGAUUUCUUUUUGGAACAUGUGUAUGGAGAGCCCUCCUUUUAAGUAAAUUUUUUUUGCUCAUGUAUGAUUGUUUAGUUUUUAUGUUAUUUUGUAAUGCUUUUUUUUUUAAUUUAAAACAGAUAAAUACUUGGCUAAUGGGUUUAUGAUCAUGUGUUACUAUUAAUAAUUUUUUUUGGAUAGUUUUUUAUUUUUUAUUUGAAAUUGGAAAAAAAGUAAUUAUUUUUUUAUGUAUUAGUGAAUUUAAUAAAUAAAGU